AUGGGUGAUUAUACAUCGGUACGUGUCAGAAGUGGGGGAUAGCCCGUGAAAGCCGGAUUAAUACCGCAUACGCUCUAGGAGGAAAGGGGGGGAUCCUAGGUCUCUCGCUACAGGGGCGGCCGAUGGCAGAUUAGCUAGUUGGUGGGGUAAAGGCCUACCAAGGCGACGAUCCGUAGCUGGUCUGAGAGGACGACCAGCCACACUGGGACUGAGACACGGCCCAGAAUCAUACGGGAGGCAGCAGUGGGGAAUUCGGACAAUGGGGGCAAUCCUGAUCCAGUAAUGCCGAGUGUGUGAAGAAGGCUUUUGGGUUGUAAAGUACUUCCGUCUGGAAAGAAAAUUUAUGUCCUAAUACGGUGGGAGGAUGACGGUACCGGAAGAAUAAGCACCGGCUAACUACGUGCCAGCAGCCGCGGUAAUACGUAGGGUGCAAGCGUUAAUCGGAAUUACUGGGCGUAAAGCGUGCGCAGGCGGUCCGCUAAGACAGAUGUGAAAUCCCCGGGCUUAACCUGGGAACUGCAUUUGUGACUGGCGGGCUAGAGUAUGGCAGAGGGGGGUAGAAUUCCACGUGUAGCAGUGAAAUGCGUAGAGAUGUGGAGGAAUACCGAUGGCGAAGGCAGCCCCCUGGGCCAAUACUGACGCUCAUGCACGAAAGCGUGGGGAGCAAACAGGAUUAGAUACCCUGGUAGUCCACG
This 695-nucleotide ribosomal RNA is filed under the name Paraburkholderia bryophila. Its description in RNAcentral is "bacterial SSU rRNA". It matches the Rfam family "Bacterial small subunit ribosomal RNA", at positions 102 to 799 of the family's 1533-position model. The record is from RNAcentral. Lineage: Bacteria; Pseudomonadati; Pseudomonadota; Betaproteobacteria; Burkholderiales; Burkholderiaceae.